CUUGUCAGUAUUUAGCAUUGCUGUUACAGCUGCUUGCUUUUUCUUCUGGAAGGGUCCUUAAACCAUCAGUAAGAAUGCCAAAUAAUACCUCCCCUUUUGUUCUGGUGGAAGAAAAUAAAGGAAACAUUUUUCCUGGGAAAAAAAUGUUUUUGAGAAGUCCUGCAAAAGUUUUUCUGUCAUGUGCUGAUUUCAAGAAGUUCAACCUUUAAUUUAUCCGGAGGUUAUGCAUGUGCAGUGGUAAAACUAUACUGGAAGUCUGUUAGCCAAAGCCAUAAAUCUCCAGUUAGAAGUGAAUGACAGGUGGGAUUGGAGGAAAAAAGCAGUUUUCUUUGGCACGCUGAACCAAAACUGACAUGCAUUCUGUCUGGGUCCCUGCUGUCCGCCUGUUCCUGGAUGACAUGAGAGGAGUUGAUGCCUUUUUGUUUUUUGUUUUAGUGGCUGGAAAAGCAGAGAAGUUGGUCACCUGAAGAGAGACCGUGUGUACUUUCUGUGGGCUCAGGAAGACCAUGCUGUGUUUCUAAAUUGAUUCUAGUAAAAUUCCAAUCAUAAAUUCAAUGUCAUCUCUGCUGUACUGAGUGUACGCUCAUCAUUCUUAAGGCUGAAAUUCUGUAGAAACUAGGUUUCAGGCAGUCUUUUGUUUCACGCUGGUACGUAGAGGAGGAAUGCAAGGUCUUAAGUUCUUACGAUGACUUUUUCAGAGGAAGCGGCUGAGAUGCUGAUGUGGGAACUUGCCAAGGUGAGGCACUAGGGCUGGGACAGGGCAGAGAGUGGAAUAUAGGUCUUCUGAGUCUCAUCCUGUGCUGUUAAGUGUGAGACUAUCUUUCCUCCCUAGUAUAUAGUUUUAGCUGAAUAUAUUGUUAAGACCCUUUUAAUGGAGUUCUGCGCUUAAAGAAGCAGCACCCAAGCCUGCCCUCGGAGGCUUGUAGAAUGAAAGAAGCAGGGCUGGAACAGGAGGAGCUGCUUCUCUCAGGUCUGAGCUCAUGUACAUAUUUUACCAGUUCCUGUAGUGUCUUAAUCAGAUGAUAUUAUGUAUUAACAUAUGGAUGAGGGAGGGGUUCCCAUUUCUUACUCUUCUUCUGUGCACCUGCACUCCCAGUGUUAUAGCUCAGCAGUUCAGUCAUGCAACUUGAGCAUUUUUGAGUUUUUUUGGACUACAUUGAGAAGAGCAUUUCCAGGUUUGCCACGGUGUUCUUUCUGGAGUAUUUCUGAGUUUUAAGUGACAGCUCAGUAAGUAUUUACACAAUGUGGGCAUGAGCUUUCUGUAGUGAAAUGUAAAGGAUGCUACAUAAUGAUAGGUAAACUUAGUAAGAGCUACUUCAGAAUUUCUCAGCAAAUAAUUUUUUUGCUAUAUAUGUUCAGAGUAAAAUGAUAACUGUAGCAGAACCUAAUUUCUAAUGUUCAUGAUUUUGGGGAGAGAAAAAAAGGACAGAAGUGGGUAGGAGCAAAUAAAGAAGGGGAUCGGUUCAUUCUGUAAAUACUCAUGGUAAAGAAAUUUCUUUAUGGGAGGGUGAGAGAGUGAAGAUAGAGAGUGUAUGUGUUAAUUCCUAUGAAAUUCCCAUGAAAAAUCAGUUUGUGUAAAUAACUCUGAAAAAGCUACUGCUCCAUUACAGUUAUUGGCAUUUCAUGCAAUAACCAGCAUGUCAUUAUUUCCUUAAGUUAGCUAUAGUAAUUGAAACCCUUUCAAAGACAAAUUAAAUUGCUGCUAACUUUUUCUUUUAUUUUUUCCCCCCUUUUUCUUUUUUUAAACUUAAGUAAUUUCCUUUUGCUCCUGGAUAAUUAAUAUUAUGCCCGAACUGUCCCAAGAAGCUGCAAGUUAGACAUGGAGAGUAGUUUUUAGAGAAGCUGUGGGGGACCCUGACACAGCCAGUAUCCCCUCUGUGUGGAGCAGACCCCUGCUGCUCGUUCCUGCUGUGGGCUUGCCCUGUGUUUUGUGGGUGCAUUUGACUGUGUGGUGAACCAGAGGGCACUGAAGAACGCAUCUGCCUUUUUGGUGGGAUGUGAUGGUGACAUCCUGGAUGUGGCCGGGAGGAGAGGGCGUUUUGAUGGUCACUGAUGUCUGACCGUGGCCUAAGGUAGCUGUGAGUUUCCAUCCUGAGAGAUUCUGCAACUCUUCUCAAAGAGAAAUUCUUGAAUUUCGGAGGACUCUGGAAUUUCCCCCUGGGGACAAUUACUGGGUUAAACAAGUACUUUCCCCCCUUUCCACUCACUUGUGAAAUUUCAUUCAGGUUUGACUAAGAGAAACCCUGAAAAUUACCAUUUCCCUUCUGAUGUCAGCACUGUUCUGGCACCCUGCCUGUGAAUAACUGAACAGGAAUGUUUUAAAACCUGCGCUCAGGCCACAGUUACAGCUGCAGCUACACCUCCAGACGCUGUGGUGGGAGACCUGCUCUGCCCCGGCCAGGGCUGAAAUUUAGGAUACGCUCAGACCGGUGCAUAAUACAGCCAACUCAAAUUUUCGACAGUGGGUUUGUACUUUCUUAACACUAUUAGUGUCCAGAGCAGUAGUUUCAGCAGUGUGAAUAUGGUCUGAGAAGUGUGAGGCACAGAAGAGGGAGGGGUACCUGCUCUGAAAAUAGCCAUUCUGUUCUGGGUUUGUGGCACUGAUUUUGGUCUUUUUGGUGAGGAGAAUGUGCAUUGUAGUCUGUGCUGCCUGUAAAAUCUUGCUGUUGGUUUGUUGUCUGCAUUGUUUUUGUAGGUGACUAUAUUUUUCUUGUUGAACAGAGGUCUGGAUCUGAAUUUGAAAGGUCAUGUAGCCUGCUGUCCUGCUUCAGGGCAGGAUCAGCUAUACCUGAGAACAGGGCAGACAGCGAUGAAUGCAAUGGAGCUGCCUCAGUCUGUUUCAGUGCUUUGCUACCCUUAGCAUUGGACAUUAGGAAAAAUAUUCCAACUCAGAUCAUCUUAACUGAGUAUCUCUUGUCCUAGUCUCUCUAGAUUACUGUGCUCGCUGGGGAUUGCGUUGAAGGGAUUGGACUGUCCUGCUUUGUCACCUGAACUUCUUCCAGGAUCCUGGAGCUGACCGGGCUCACUCUGUACUUCUCUGUAUGGGAUCCUUCCUGUAGGCUUGUUUAGAGUUUUGUACUUCAUAACAGUCUGAGGAUGGAUUUAAAGUCCAAAUGACUAGGACUAUGCACCCUGUACAAGCUUAGGAGGAGAAUCUGGUAUUCAUUAACUGUAUGUAAAUAAUUAAACCAGUGCCAGACUAGAGGUGGUCUUCCCUCAGACAUACUCCUUGUGAAAUGGUUUGAGGAAAAGUUCUUACCUUUGUGCAGAAGAUACAUUGAAACGGUAGAAGUGCUGGAAUUAGUUAAAACUUGAUAAAUUUGUUAUUUCUUUAAGUAUAUCUGACUUUGGAGCUGGCAUGGCUAAUCAAGGAAAAGGCUUCCCAUUCAAGGCCAGUUUGCUGAGCAUGAUCACGUGUUCUCAGAAACUGCCUUUUUGUUGUGCUGUGGCUGCACGUGUUGUGUCAGUAGUCUAAGGAGUACUGGAGUCCUGCCCUUCAGGCUGGGGUAGCUGUGUGGGUGGGGGGUUUAUUUUUUUAAUAAAAAAAAACCCCAAACUCAUUUGCUUACUGUUGCGUGGGGGGCUUGUGGUAAUUGUAGUGCUUUGGAUCCCCUGGAAAAGAUUCAGGGCAGCUGCUGCAUGUAACAGAUUUGAACUUUUUUUUUUUUUUUUUUUUUUUAAAUUGUGUGUGGAUAAUUGGACAGUGUUGUGAUAGGAAGCAUUUAAGUAUCAGAGUAUCUCCUAGUCUUUCAGUUUAUUGUGAUAGACCAGCGAGGCUAGUAUGAGCAGUUCUCCACGUCUCAGAAGGCUUUCAUUGCCUCCGCACCCUGCAGCUGGGUGCAUGGGAAAUCUUCAGAGUAGGUGCUCAAAGCCGUAUCUCUCAAAAUCAAGGUUAAUGCUAUAACUACUAGAUUAUACUUUCUCUCUGGACAUGGGGUUGCACCUGGAACAGUUUUCUUUGGUUUUACAAAAAGUUACCAGGCUGGAAAUGUCAUUUCUAGCUGUCUGUGGGCAGAACGUGGCUCCCCUGGAAUAGGGCACGUUUGUGCGGAAGGGACUUUCAGGUGAUGACUGUGCUAAUCCAGGAUGAGGGUUCAUAACAGAAAUGGCAUACAAAAGCACUCUUAUUCAGCUCCUGCUCUGGAGGAGAAGCAAAGUGCCUGGCUAUCUACUGUCUACUCUUGGAUGCGCAGAAGAAAUUGACAGACCUAUCCCAAAUUGUCCUGCCUGCCUGUACAUUAAAGAUACUUCUAAAGUGCCUUCUUUGGCCUUCCUGUUCGGUUCACAAGGCAUGACAGCAUUGCAAAAGCUUGUUUCCACGUUAAUUGUAAUUGAUUACCCUGCAAUCUAGGACAAGAUUUCCUUUGAAAAGCUAUAUGCUGAUUUGGUGUCAGGAAUUAAAAUCAGAUGAAGUGAUUAGUGUUCUAUGAAAUAUCCCAGAGCAAGUGAGUGCUUCUCGGCUUUCAACUGUGUUUUGGCCUUUAACCCUUGCCUCCCUUCUUCUCCAGAGCAAGGUGCUAACUAAAUCUGUUGUCCGCAUGCUCAGGCGAAUAACUCCUUAGGCAUAUUGUAUCAGGAGAUCGUGGUAUAAUUUGCUGCUGAGCUUCAGAGUGCAGAUUUACUGUCCUUAAUGAUGAAUGCAGCGUGUUGAAAGUGCACUGUGUCAAGGCAACAGUGAUACUUGUACUGAAUGGUGAACAUGUAUUAAGGUUAGCUUUAAAUCUGAUCACUCUGUAAAUGGCAAUAAACUGUUCAGAGUUGUCACUGCUGUCAAGGUA
Molecule: long non-coding RNA, 4778 nt
Organism: Aquila chrysaetos chrysaetos
Lineage: Eukaryota; Metazoa; Chordata; Aves; Accipitriformes; Accipitridae
Exons: 2
Source: RefSeq, a predicted model, not a curated record